Molecule: long non-coding RNA, 1103 nt
Filed under: Equus asinus (donkey)
Lineage: Eukaryota; Metazoa; Chordata; Mammalia; Perissodactyla; Equidae
Description: lncRNA (ENSEASG00005034673.1)
Source: RNAcentral
UCUCCACCUCAACCUCAUGCCCACACCAUCUCUUGCUGUGUUACCACGUGGCUUCCUGGGAAUUUCCCUGAUGCCAGUCUUCUCCCCUUUAGAUUCAUGGUCCACACAGCUGCUAAAAGGAUGGUUUUAAAACACAAAUCUCACCAUAUCUCCACCUGCCUAAAGCAUUCCACAGGCUCCCCACUGCCCUUGGGAUAAAGCCCAAACAUAUUACUAUGAAAAGUCCUCCUCAGUCCCUCCAUCCCCAGCCUCACCUUGAGUCACUCACUGAGCUGUGUAGGGGUCUCCACAGGCCAAACAGUCUCAUCCUCGGCUCUGCUGUGACCUUUUCCUGGCAUGUCCUUAUCUCUUUACCCCAUUCACCUUCACCUGGUCAACUCGCAAGAUUCGACUCAGGUUCGUCUCAGCUCCUCCAGCAUCAUUGCCUCCAGGUGGCCUUCCGUGACACGCACGCUCCACAGGUGACCUCGCUGCCCUCCUCUGCAGCCCAGGCCACGCUCCACAGUGCACUCAGGUGACCUGUUUCUGGGUCAGUCUUUCUCCCGCUCUGGGUUAUGAACUUUCCAGGAGCAGACACAGGGUUCUCCUUGCCUCGGUGUGCAGAGCAUCUAGGACAAUGCAUGGUACAAGGCCCAGAUGCCCCCAGGAAUAGCUGAAGUCCCGGGCUGAGAUACGAGCAGAAGACUUCCAGGCAGAGGAAAUCAGAGCUGGACCUGCCGGUGCCGCCAUCUGUUCUUCAGUGCUGACCUAAGAGUUGGGGGGCCCCGUGGGACUGGGGGAAUCAUCCAGCUGUGGGUUUAUGUUUUACGUGGACUGAAUUCGGUCAAUGUCCCUGACUUUCAGGCUUUGACAGUCAUCCUGUAAUGUUUACCUCUAUCAGAAACCUCAACUGUAUGCUCUUUAAUAUGUUUUAUUAAUAUUAAUAAAGUUAAUUCCACUUAAUCUAAUUACGUAGUUUGAUGGCAUUCUUUGGAUCACUGUGGAUCCCCUCAGCACGCCUGCCAGGACUUUAGAUCAGGGGUUGCAGAACCUCCGUCUAUUUCAGGCAGCCUGCUCUUGAACGUGGGCCAAACAUUUCUUUGUGGCUUUAGAACUGCUCUACA